This 459-nucleotide ribosomal RNA is filed under the name uncultured bacterium. RNAcentral describes it as "partial 16S ribosomal RNA". It matches the Rfam family "Bacterial small subunit ribosomal RNA", at positions 338 to 795 of the family's 1533-position model. The record is from RNAcentral.
CCUACGGGGGGCAGCAGUGAGGAAUAUUGGUCAAUGGGCGGGAGCCUGAACCAGCCAAGUCGCGUGAGGGACGACGGUCCUAUGGAUUGUAAACCUCUUUUGUCGGGGAACAAAGGCGCCCACGGGUGGGCGGAUGAGUGUACCCGAAGAAAACGCAUAGGCUCACUCCGUGCCAGCAGCCGCGGUAAUACGGCGGAUGCGAGGGUUAUCAGGAUUUAUUGGGUUAAAAGGGUGCGUAGGCGGACAGCCAAGUCUGCGGGAAAAAUUCGGUGCUCAACGCCGUACAGCCGUUGAAACUGGCAGUCUGGAGUGGGCGAGAAGUAUGCGGAAUGCGUGGUGUAGCGGUGAAAUGCAUAGAUAUUAGGAAGAACUCCGAUGGCGAAGGCAGCUUACCGGCGCCCGACUGACGCUGAGGCACGAAAGCGUGGGUAGCGAACAGGAUUAGAUACCCCUGUAGUC